Molecule: ribosomal RNA, 386 nt
Filed under: uncultured bacterium
Lineage: Bacteria
Description: bacterial SSU rRNA
Rfam family: Bacterial small subunit ribosomal RNA
Source: RNAcentral
AUUGAACGCUGGCGGCAUGCCUUACACAUGCAAGUCGAACGGUAACGGGCCUUCGGGUGCCGACGAGUGGCGAACGGGUGAGUAAUGCAUCGGAACGUACCUUUCAGUGGGGGAUAACGUAGCGAAAGUUACGCUAAUACCGCAUAUUCUGUGAGCAGGAAAGCAGGGGAUCGCAAGACCUUGCGCUGAUUGAGCGGCCGAUGUCAGAUUAGCUAGUUGGUGAGGUAAAGGCUCACCAAGGCGACGAUCUGUAGCGGGUCUGAGAGGAUGAUCCGCCACACUGGAACUGAGACACGGUCCAGACUCCUACGGGAGGCAGCAGUGGGGAAUUUUGGACAAAUGGGGGGCAACCCUGAUCCAGCCAUGCCGCGUGAGUGAAGAAGGCC